UACGUAGGGUGCAAGCGUUGUCCGGAAUUAUUGGGCGUAAAGAGCUCGUAGGCGGUCUGUUGCGUCGGCUGUGAAAACCCGAGGCUCAACCUCGGGCCUGCAGUCGAUACGGGCAAACUAGAGUACUGCAGGGGAGACUGGAAUUCCUGGUGUAGCGGUGAAAUGCGCAGAUAUCAGGAGGAACACCGGUGGCGAAGGCGGGUCUCUGGGCAGUAACUGACGCUGAGGAGCGAAAGCAUGGGGAGCGAACAGG
Molecule: ribosomal RNA, 253 nt
Filed under: uncultured bacterium
Lineage: Bacteria
Description: partial 16S ribosomal RNA
Rfam family: Bacterial small subunit ribosomal RNA
Source: RNAcentral